Molecule: ribosomal RNA, 496 nt
Filed under: uncultured bacterium
Lineage: Bacteria
Description: partial 16S ribosomal RNA
Rfam family: Bacterial small subunit ribosomal RNA
Source: RNAcentral
ACGAACGCUGGCGGCGUGCCUCAUACAUGCAAGUAGCACGCUGAAGAGAGGAGCUUGCUCUUCUUGGAUGAGUUGCGAACGGGUGAGUAACGCGUAGGUAACCUGCCUGGUAGCGGGGGAUAACUAUUGGAAACGAUAGCUAAUACCGCAUAAAAUGGAUUAUCGCAUGAUAAUCCAUUGAAAGGUGCAAAUGCAUCACUACCAGAUGGACCUGCGUUGUAUUAGCUAGUUGGUGGGGUAACGGCUCACCAAGGCGACGAUACAUAGCCGACCUGAGAGGGUGAUCGGCCACACUGGGACUGAGACACGGCCCAGACUCCUACGGGAGGCAGCAGUAGGGAAUCUUCGGCAAUGGACGGAAGUCUGACCGAGCAACGCCGCGUGAGUGAAGAAGGUUUUCGGAUCGUAAAGCUCUGUUGUAAGAGAAGAACGAGUGUGAGAGUGGAAAGUUCACACUGUGACGGUAUCUUACCAGAAAGGGACGGCUAACUACGUG